RNAcentral lists this ribosomal RNA (518 nucleotides) under Euryarchaeota archaeon TMED192. Its description in RNAcentral is "bacterial SSU rRNA". It matches the Rfam family "Archaeal small subunit ribosomal RNA", at positions 1 to 521 of the family's 1478-position model. Lineage: Archaea; Methanobacteriati; Methanobacteriota. The record is from RNAcentral.
AAAUCCGGUUGAUCCUGCCGGAGGCUACCGCUAUUGGAGUCCGAUUAAGACAUGCGAGUCGAGAGCUUUCGGAGCUCGGCAUACUGCUCAGUAACACGUGGGUAACCUGCCCUAUGCUGGGGGAUAACCUCGGGAAACUGAGAACAAUACCCCAUAGUCCACUACGCCUGGAACGGUGAGUGGAUGAAAGCCCCGGCGGCAUAGGAUGGGCCUGCGGCGUAUCAGGUUGUAGGGGGUGUAAUGUACCCUCUAGCCUUCGACGCGUACGGGUUGUGAGAGCAAUAGCCCGGAGAUGGAUUCUGAGACAAGAAUCCAGGUCCCACGGGACGCAGCAGUCGCGAAACCUUGACAAUGCGGGAAACCGUGAUCAGGGGACUCCAAGUGCCAGGAGUAAGAUCCUGUGCUUUUCAUCUCUCUUCAAAGGAUUUGGAAUAAGAGGUGGGUAAGGACGGUGCCAGCCGCCGCGGUAAUACCGGCGCCUCAAGUGGUAGUCGAUUUUAUUGGGCCUAAAACGUCCG